This 251-nucleotide ribosomal RNA is filed under the name uncultured bacterium. RNAcentral describes it as "partial 16S ribosomal RNA". It matches the Rfam family "Bacterial small subunit ribosomal RNA", at positions 524 to 776 of the family's 1533-position model. The record is from RNAcentral.
GACGGGGGGGGCAAGUGUUCUUCGGAAUGACUGGGCGUAAAGGGCACGUAGGCGGUGAAUCGGGUUGAAAGUGAAAGUCGCCAAAAAGUGGCGGAAUGCUCUCGAAACCAAUUCACUUGAGUGAGACAGAGGAGAGUGGAAUUUCGUGUGUAGGGGUGAAAUCCGUAAAUAUACGAAGGAACGCCAAAAGCGAAGGCAGCUCUCUGGGUCCCUACCGACGCUGGGGUGCGAAAGCAUGGGUAGCGAACAGG